AUACUUCCCUGCCAGGGGAGACACCAUGAUCACGAAGGUGGCUUUCCCAAGGAAAGGCAGAUCUAUUGCACUCUAGAUGUGUUGACCCAUGAGAUUUCCCCAAAUGUGGGAAACUCAACUGCAUAAUUUGUGGAAGUGAAGGACUGUGUUUGUGCUUUCAUGUG
Molecule: small nuclear RNA, 164 nt
Organism: Pongo pygmaeus (Bornean orangutan)
Lineage: Eukaryota; Metazoa; Chordata; Mammalia; Primates; Hominidae
Product: U1 spliceosomal RNA
Exons: 1
Source: RefSeq, a predicted model, not a curated record